AGCCCCCACCUCCCACAGGCUUUUUACUACCCACCUGUACAUCACACCUGGGGCUUCUGUUUCCAUCUGACCCUUUCCUGAGCCCAUCCAAAUCAAGUUCCAAGUUCAGCACUAACUCAAGGAUAGCUGCAAGAGGUCCUCGCUCACCAGGAGAUUAACCCAAAAGGCUGCCAAAAUGAGAAGGGAAAGAGCAAGCGCAGUCCCUGAUAAGAGGCCCAAGAUGCCAGCGAAAUCAAAACAAAUGCACCUGCUUAAGGAAGAAUCGACCCACAGGGCAACCUCGCCCUACGGCCGUCUGUGGAACAUGUUAUCCCAGCCCCUGCUGUGGCGCUUGCCCAUUUACGGCUGUCUGCUGGCAGUAUUCUUCACGAUUGUGUUUGCACUUUUGUUUCACAACUUUAUGUAGCCAUCUCUUCUCACUCCUAAUAAAGCCUUUGCACCUGAAAGGCAAGGAGGAGCGU
Ochotona curzoniae (black-lipped pika) is the source of this 461-nucleotide long non-coding RNA. RefSeq lists it as uncharacterized. NCBI's taxonomy places the organism in Eukaryota, Metazoa, Chordata, Mammalia, Lagomorpha, Ochotonidae. The transcript has 2 exons. The record is from RefSeq and is a predicted model, not a curated record.